This 152-nucleotide non-coding RNA is filed under the name Stygamoeba regulata. The record is from RNAcentral. Lineage: Eukaryota; Discosea; Stygamoebida.
GGCGGUAAGAGCAAGAAGCGCUCCGAGGGCAAGGGCUACACAUCACCCACCACUUCGAGUCGAAGCGGCGAUCGCUCUCUGAACAGUCCCUCACAUCAGAUCUACUUGCGGCGUCAACGUCACGGAGACAACCUCACCUACUGACGAGAAGC